AUUUAGUUUUAAAAAAGUGUUGACUUUAUUAAGCUAAUGAUGGUACAAUAAUCAAGUAGUCAAAAAUAAUAUUAUCGCGGGAUGGAGCAGUUCGG
Molecule: non-coding RNA, 95 nt
Organism: Streptomyces sp. WAC00263
Lineage: Bacteria; Bacillati; Actinomycetota; Actinomycetes; Kitasatosporales; Streptomycetaceae
Source: Rfam